GAAAAGGCUGUGACGGAGAAAAGUACGCCGCGCCUCUUUUUUUUAGGGAGAAAAUGCCUUAGACUGCAAGCAUUUUUAAAAAGAGACGGCAGAAGUUCACCUCCCGAGCCGGUGCUAGGACCGCUUUGGCGUAAAGGCACCCCGGUUUUAAACAGCCGUUAUCCGAAUGAAGUGAAUGCGCACGUUUGCGCGUUAAAAAGGGUGGUACCGCGAUUUAGAAGCCUCGUCCCUUUC
Molecule: non-coding RNA, 234 nt
Filed under: Domibacillus antri
Lineage: Bacteria; Bacillati; Bacillota; Bacilli; Caryophanales; Bacillaceae
Description: T-box sequence
Rfam family: T-box leader
About the family: Uncharged tRNA acts as the effector for transcription antitermination of genes in the T-box leader family. T-boxes are found upstream of many aminoacyl-tRNA synthetase genes and some amino acid biosynthetic genes usually in Gram-positive bacteria.
Source: RNAcentral